GAUCCUGGCUCAGGACGAACGUUGGCGGCGUGUCUAAGGCAUGCAAGUCGAGCGAAUCAUUAUUUGUAGCAAUACUUGUGAUGGUAGUGGCAAACGGGUGCGUAACACAUUGGUAAUCUGCCUUCUAGUCGGGCAUAACUCACCGAAAGGUGAGCUAAUUCCACGAUACACUCCACAUGUUAGUAGUGUGAGAGGAAAGCGCAAAAACGCGCUAGAAGAGGAGCCUAUGGCCUAUCAGCUUGUUGGUGAGGUAACGGCUCACCAAGGCUAUGACGGGUAGGGGGUGUGAGAGCAUGACCCCCCUCACUGGGACUGAGACACUGCCCAGACACCUACGGGUGGCUGCAGUCGAGAAUUUUCCUCAAUGGACGAAAGUCUGAAGGAGCGACGCCGCGUGCAGGAUGAAGGGCUUCGGCCCGUAAACUGCUUUUGCUAGGGAAGAAUCAUGACGGUACCUAGAGAAUAAGUGGUUGCUAACUCUGUG
This 484-nucleotide ribosomal RNA is filed under the name uncultured bacterium. RNAcentral describes it as "bacterial SSU rRNA". It matches the Rfam family "Bacterial small subunit ribosomal RNA", at positions 15 to 507 of the family's 1533-position model. The record is from RNAcentral.